RNAcentral lists this non-coding RNA (148 nucleotides) under Gorilla gorilla gorilla (western lowland gorilla). The record is from Rfam by way of RNAcentral. Lineage: Eukaryota; Metazoa; Chordata; Mammalia; Primates; Hominidae.
ACCGGGCAUGGUGGUGCAUGCCUGUAAUCCCAGCUACUCAGGAGGCUGAGGCAGGAGAAUCACUUGAACCCAGGAGGUGGAGGUUGCAGUGAGCCGAGAUUGCACCACUGCACUCCAGCCUGGGUGAUAGAGUGAGACUCUGUCUUAA